AAGAUCAUACUUCAAAGGAUCAUUUCUUUAGUAUGAUUGGGACGUUUCGUUGACAAAACGAAGUCCAACUUAGCCACGAUGAGGAGGUUAGGAGCUUUUUCCUGAGCGGGAAGCUGGAUGUUAGCGUAGUCACUAACAUUCAUUGAUGACCGUAACUGACUAGUUUAAUUACUAGACAGUUGGGAAUUAGCUCGAUCUGAGUGGU
This is a small nucleolar RNA of Tetranychus urticae (two-spotted spider mite), 205 nucleotides long. It matches the Rfam family "Small nucleolar RNA U3". From Rfam's summary of the family: Small nucleolar RNAs (snoRNAs) are involved in the processing and modification of rRNA in the nucleolus. There are two main classes of snoRNAs: the box C/D class, and the box H/ACA class. The record is from Rfam. NCBI's taxonomy places the organism in Eukaryota, Metazoa, Arthropoda, Arachnida, Trombidiformes, Tetranychidae.